Molecule: long non-coding RNA, 1908 nt
Organism: Callithrix jacchus (white-tufted-ear marmoset)
Lineage: Eukaryota; Metazoa; Chordata; Mammalia; Primates; Cebidae
Source: RefSeq, a predicted model, not a curated record
CUCUUCUGUCUCUCUCUCACACACACACACCGCCCUGACUCCUCACUGAAAAGCACUCAGCAUCUUUCCUAACAAGCAUCCACAUCGCCGAGGCCACGCCCACUCCUCGCAGCAGCGGUCCCAGAAAUUGGCAGCACUGGAGGUGUGGGUGGGGGAAGGGACCAGGCGGUGGAGCCUUCUGAUUUUCUGGAGAUCCUGCAUUUGGCAGAGCCAGGCAACAUACUGAGCUAUUCCUGAUUAUCCGGGAGUGCAUCCAGUUCCUUUAGGUACAAAGAUAGAUUGUAAUGUGAGACCUGUCUCGCUUCUUGAUGAAGAUGUUUAGCAUGAUAAACUUCCUGCUUAACACCGAGUUAGCUGCAUCCCAGAGAUUUUGCUCAGCAUCUUUACCUGUCAAACUCAGGAAUUACUAUCUGAAUGAAUGAGAUCAACAAAGCAAACUACAUUGUGCCACCAAGCUGUCCUGGAAGAAUGCGAUAUCCAGGUAAUCAGCCAUGUUUAUCAACCUAUGAUUCUGACAUCUUCUCAGAAUAUACUUCCCCCAAAAUUUUAAGGAGAAAACAUGCUACAUUUUUUUGCAAGUAAAAUUUCCUUUGCUACGUCUUACAUUUAUAAUUUCAGUCUUUUGCUGUUAUUUUAGAAUGAAACUUAUUACAAAAAAGGUUAAAAGAUGUCAUGAAGAAUUUCUCGGCCAGGCACGGUGGCUCAAGCCUGUAAUCCCAGCACUUUGGGAGGCCAAAGCGGGUGGAUCACGAGGUCAAGAGAUCGAGACCAUCCUGGUCAACAUGGUGAAACCCCGUCUCUACUAAAAAUACAAAAAAAUUAGCUGGGCACGGUGGCGCGUGACUGUAAUCCCAGCUACUCAGGAGGCUGAGGCAGGAGAAUUGCCUGAACCCAGGAGGCGGAGGUUGCGGUGAGCUGAGAUGGCGCCAUUGCACUCCAGCCUGGGUAACAAGAGCGAAACUCCGUCUCAAAAAAAAAAAAGAAUUUCUCUAUACAGAAAGAUAGCUAUGUGUGUAAGUGUGUAUAUCUGUUGAGUCAAAAGAUACAACCAUUGUAAGCCUUUAUCAUAUGGGACCUAACGACCUUGCAGAAUGAUCAUAUCAAUUACACGUCCAUCAGCUUUGGAUGGAGCUGCACAUUUCCAUUUUCUCAAAAUUCAUCCCAAGAAAUCAUAUGGUUGGAAAAUAUGAAGGUAAAAAUUUGGAAAAUUAUCUUUUUUAUCAUGGCAAUUCUUCAGAUAUAAGGUAUUUUUAUGUUUUGUGGACACUGGUUUAUAAAACAUCUUGUUUAAACAGAAUUAUUUUACAUAUUUUUAUUUGCUGUGUUAGAAAUGUCAGUCCUUUGCUUGGCUUCUUGGUCUUCGAUUUUAUCAAUCUUGAAAAUAUCAAUUUGUUAUAAAAAAAUGAACUUCAUUGAAUUGUUUCGUGAGAAUUUGGGUUUCUCACAAAUUUGUGAGAAUUUGUAUCACAUGGGUAAUAUUUCAUAAAAUGCAUAUAUGCUAUUUACAAUGAAUACUUCAAAAGAUAAAUCAUAUCCUUUUUUUUGUCAUUUCUCAAGUUGAGAUGCCAAAUUUCAUUUGUGCAAGAUAUUUUACACCCAACUCAUUAAAUAUUUGGGGGUUAAUAUUUAAACUUAAUAUAUUUUAAUGAGAUAACAAACUUUACAACAAUGAAAAUAUACAGUAUAUUUUUGUGCUUUGCAAAUUAGGCUAAAAUCCAAACUUAACUUUUAGGAUUACAUAAAGCAUUUUGUAUAUAUUCUUUUGUUAAAGUAAAUAGGAGUUUCUUAUUAUUUUAAAAUAAUGUUAUGUGAUUUAACCACAAUGCUGUUGCAUGUAUGCUGAAGUUACAAUUUGAAUCUUGUAAUUUUUUUCCCAACAGUGCAUUUUCUAAUUGCAUACAAAGUUUA